Non-coding RNA from Sus scrofa (pig), 1618 nucleotides. Lineage: Eukaryota; Metazoa; Chordata; Mammalia; Artiodactyla; Suidae. The record is from RefSeq and is a predicted model, not a curated record.
AACUGGCAACCGGGAAAAGAAUUCAGAUUCUAGAGGGUCCAGGAUGCCAGGUUUCUCAUCUGUGGUUCAAGAGAGGGGCGUUUAAAAAUGAGCUAGCCUAGUUGGACCCUUACCAGGGGCUCUGGGGGUGGGGGGCGCCCUGCCUGGCGUGCUCGGGUCCCCUUAGCAGCUCACCCGUUCUUUUUUUUGACUUUUCUCAUUUCUGCAGUUCUACCACAUGGUCACGUGGAAUCUGUGCUGACCAAAAGCCUAGGGCAGAGGAGAGGGGACUGCGCGGCCUUAAGACUAACCCCGAGGCCGAGGCGUUCCCAUUGCGGCUCAGCGGUGAAGCCCUAAAAAGAAAACAAACAAGAAAAAAAAGUGGGGUCCAGAUUUGAUCUUCAAAGAAAUUCUGCAUUGGAAGGAAGAAAACAAAUAAGAAAAAAAGAGUUGGGUCCAGAUUUGAUCUUUGAAGACAUUCAGCCUUGGAAGGAAGGGAGAUUUCCCCAAACAUGCCAAACAGGAGGCUGGCGGACACUCAGACAAAGCCUGCAAACAAAACUCAUGCCUGCAUGAGCCUUUAGGAAGAGGGAUGGGGCCAGGGAGCCAGUGGCUCCAGAAGUACUAUUUGGGGGAAUUUGUGUAAGCAGGUAAGAAUGACAGACAGGGGUUUUUGGACAGACGAGAGCCAUUUCUGGUCCAAGCCUGGUCCCCAUACUUGUUCUUCAACAGGUCUCAGUGAUUAGCGACCUUAAGGAGCCAAAGAACAAACUUCUCAGGCGAGAGAAUAAGAGCAAAAGUAAGAAAUCAGUGGGAAGGGCUCCUCGGUGUUUCCUUGGUCAAGAUCAGCCCAAAGCCCUUUCUUGGGCUGUUGUGCAGCAUUUAACGACCCCCCUGCCCCGCCCCAGGUGCUCAACCACCAAAUCAGCUGGAAUCUAAAGGUGACAGUGGUGACCCUUUCUGACCCUUGUGAUUCAGCCCACUAAAGCUUGGACUCCAUGGACCUUGGCCCCAAUUCUACGCUGAAUUCUCCUCGGCUCAGGCCCCUUCAUGAAUAUGCAUGUACCAUGCAACCACGAAAAAGAGUUUUCUGCAGUACGAGUCCUGUGGCUCUGAGUUCACUAUAGAAGAGUCUAGUGGCUUCACAGUAUCAGUGACCGGUGUGGACGGGGCUGCACAGGGAGGUGACAGAGCACGGCUCAUGCUGAAUGCCUCAGGGGUGACUUGGCGGGCCCGGGACGCAGGGUACAGCUGGCCGAAAACUCUGGUUUGGUGUUGGAUAAACCAUGGGUGUGGGGGCUGAGAGAUGACGUUCAGAGCCAUGGCCUGGAGCUGUUUGGCAGACACUGAAAUCCCCACCAGGUGGAAGACAUUAACUGCAUGCUGCCCACCUGCAUGGAGAUCCCGGACCCACUGGAACCAGAAGGUGGGUGACGCUGACUCCUCCCCACCCGCCCAUCAGAAGACAGUCCCUGAGCUGAUCACAUCCCCCACACCCUCUCUUCUGCACGGAACCCUUUUCCUCUUUUUCUUGUAUCAUCUCCUAGCAAAACUUGGGGAGUGGAAGGUUGGGACAUGAGUCUACCUUCUCCCCAGGACUGCCGGCUUCCUCGAUAAAGCCGUCUUUCCUUUCAUCCCA